Molecule: ribosomal RNA, 298 nt
Filed under: uncultured bacterium
Lineage: Bacteria
Description: partial 16S ribosomal RNA
Rfam family: Bacterial small subunit ribosomal RNA
Source: RNAcentral
AACGAACGCUGGCGGCAUGCCUAACACAUGCAAGUCGAACGAGACCUUCGGGUCUAGUGGCGCACGGGUGCGUAACGCGUGGGAAUCUACCCUUGGGUUCGGAAUAACUCAGAGAAAUUUGAGCUAAUACCGGAUGAUGUCGCAAGACCAAAGAUUUAUCGCCCAAGGAUGAGCCCGCGUAGGAUUAGCUUGUGGUGAGGUAAAAGCUCACCAAGGCGACGAUCCUUAGCUGGUCUGAGAGGAUGAUCAGCUACACUGGGACUGAGACACGGCCCAGACUCCUACGGGAGGCAGCAGU